This 374-nucleotide ribosomal RNA is filed under the name uncultured bacterium. RNAcentral describes it as "bacterial SSU rRNA". It matches the Rfam family "Bacterial small subunit ribosomal RNA", at positions 28 to 404 of the family's 1533-position model. The record is from RNAcentral.
GACGAACGCUGGCGGCGUGCUUAACACAUGCAAGUCGAGCGGUAAGGCCCUUUCGGGGGUACACGAGCGGCGAACGGGUGAGUAACACGUGGGUGACCUGCCCUCAGCUCUGGGAUAAGCCUGGGAAACUGGGUCUAAUACUGGAUAUGACUCCACGGUGCAUGUCGUGGGGUGGAAAGCCCUGUGCGGCUGAGGAUGGGCCCGCGGCCUAUCAGCUUGUUGGUGGGGUGAGGCCUACCAAGGCGACGACGGGUAGCCGGCCUGAGAGGGCGACCGGCCACACUGGGACUGAGACACGGCCCAGACUCCUACGGGAGGCAGCAGUGGGGAAUCUUGCGCAAUGGGCGAAAGCCUGACGCAGCGACGCCGCGUGA